UACGGAGGAUGCGAGCGUUAUCCGGAUUUAUUGGGUUUAAAGGGUGCGUAGGCGGGCUUUUAAGUCAGCGGUAAAAAUUCGGGGCUCAACCCCGUCCGGCCGUUGAAACUGGCAGUCUCGAGUUGGAGAGAAGUAUGCGGAAUGCGCGGUGUAGCGGUGAAAUGCAUAGAUAUCGCGCAGAACUCCGAUUGCGAAGGCAGCUCACUGGACUGCAACUGACACUGAGGCUCGAAAGUGUGGGUAUCAAACAGG
This 252-nucleotide ribosomal RNA is filed under the name uncultured Bacteroidales bacterium. RNAcentral's name for it is "partial 16S ribosomal RNA". It matches the Rfam family "Bacterial small subunit ribosomal RNA", at positions 524 to 776 of the family's 1533-position model. Lineage: Bacteria; Pseudomonadati; Bacteroidota; Bacteroidia; Bacteroidales. The record is from RNAcentral.